UACAGAGGGUGCAAGCGUUAAUCGGAAUUACUGGGCGUAAAGCGUGCGUAGACGGUUAUGUAAGUCAGGUGUGAAAGCCCCGGGCUCAACCUGGGAAUUGCAUUUGAGACUGCAUAGCUAGGGUGCGGAAGAGGGAAGCGGAAUUUCCGGUGUAGCGGUGAAAUGCGUAGAUAUCGGGAGGAACACCCGUAGCGAAGGCGGCACUCUGGGCCGGAACUGACGCUGAGGAGCGAAAGCGUGGGGAGCAAACAGG
RNAcentral lists this ribosomal RNA (253 nucleotides) under uncultured bacterium. Its description in RNAcentral is "partial 16S ribosomal RNA". It matches the Rfam family "Bacterial small subunit ribosomal RNA", at positions 524 to 776 of the family's 1533-position model. The record is from RNAcentral.